Long non-coding RNA from Leopardus geoffroyi (Geoffroy's cat), 350 nucleotides. RefSeq lists it as uncharacterized. The record is from RefSeq and is a predicted model, not a curated record. Lineage: Eukaryota; Metazoa; Chordata; Mammalia; Carnivora; Felidae. The transcript has 2 exons.
GCUCACCCAAUGAGAGCCUCAAACUCAGGAACUGUGAGAUCAUGACCUGAGCCAAAGUCAGAUGCUUAACCAAGUCACCCAGGCAGCCCUGAUUCCACAAACUUUUAUUAAGUGCCUAGCAUGUGUCAGCCUCAGAGUUGGUGCUAGGGAUACAAAUGUGAAAAAAGUGGUCCCUAUAGAGUUGCCCCAUCUUGCCUGUUUCCUUUUUCCACCUUUUCCAUCUCUUGCUCCUGUGGCCCAUCUUUGUGUGUGUGUCCCAUCAUUAUGGAAUGCAGAGGUUAAAGUUUAUAAUUCUAGAAGUUGAUGCUUUUUUAAAAAAAUGUUUAUUUAUUUGUUGAGAGAGAGAGAGA